AUUGUCAAUUUUUUAAAAUGAAAUCUUUUUCAUUCAGUUAUAUGUUGGACUUUUAAUUCAAAGUCUUUUUGUUUCUUUGUUUUUGUUUUAAAUUUUACUCACAAAGGUUCUAUACAAUUCUAACUAUGCUUAUUUCUAAGUAUUAUAAUUUUUAUAUUUGAAUUGUUCUCUUAGCAAUCAGUCUACUUGCAUUGUACUGCCACAUUGCUAAGGAGAAAUGUUAACCAUGAUAAAUAAAUUAUUCUAUAUGAAAACCAUGUGAGAAGCAGUUUGAACAUAAUUAGGGUCUGCAGUUUGGAAAGAUGCCCCUGAGUUCUGACUUGGAGUAUUUUUUGACAUCACCAUUGUGUUGUUUGUUUUCCUGUGUGUGUGUGCAUCUUGCUCCUCUCUCCCUGUCAUUGUACUCUCCACAGGAUUUUUCUCCUGACAUUCACGCAUGCACCCCCACCCAUCUUGGCUUAUGUAGAAAAUUACUGCCCAUGUCUUUGAGAUGCAUUCUUGGAACACCCAGAACAAAUGCUCUUUAUACCCAAAAGUCUUAGUUUAAAAUCAGACAAUUCAAACAGAGCCUUUAGAUUUGUGGAAAUCCAAUUAUCCACUUUUAUGAGAUAUCAUCACAAACAGAUGAAAAUAUAUUCAUAUGCUUUAAUAUAUAUUCAUAGGUAAGAUUUGUUUGUAAUUUUCUUUUUUGCUAUCUAUGGUUUUGUUCUAGAUAAUGCUGGUUUCAUAAAAUAGAUUGUACACCUUAUGUCAUUUUCUGAACUCUGAAACAAUUUGAAUAGUGUGAUAGAUGUUAAGCCCUUGAAAGUGUGAAUUUACUUCUCAUGAAAAAUAAUCUACAAGUUGUACUUUGACACCUGUUCCAAUUCCUCUCUGUUCAUGCAUUCAAGUUGUUGAAUGCCUGCCCUCUGCCAGAAACCAUAUUAGAUAUGUUUCAGUUUCUACUUAUCCUUGAUUCAAUUUGAAGUAAUUAUUUUGACCCAGAGAUUCAUCAGUUUCAUUGAGAUAUUCAAAUUGAGUGAAGUUAUGCAUAAUCUUCUUUUAUAAUUUUUGAAUCUCUUCUAAUUUGGAUUUUUGUGUUUUCACUUUUUUCAUUAGACUUGUCAUAUGUGUAUAUUCUAUUGCUUAUAUGUAGAGAGUUUGUCUUGAAUAUCUCAGUUCUGCUUUUUCCCUCUAUUUUUAAGUAUAUUAGCUUCUGAUCUUAUUAUUUACAUUUUUCUAGUAUAUUUAUACUUAUUUUCUAAUUUCUUAAUGAAUCUAUAGUAAUUGUUUUCUUCAAUAAUGACCGUAUUUACAGCCAAACAUGUAUCUCUGGUAACUGCUGUGGCUGCAUUUUCAUGUGUUUUUAUAUGUAAUGUUCUACGUUUUCAUUUUAUAAAUAGUUUGUAUUUUUAUCGUAAGCUUAAAAUAUAUUCAGUCAUUUUAUGUGUCACAAAAGAAACAGACACAUUUAAGCUAGCAAAAAACUUUUCAUACAAAGCCUGUGUGUCUUCUGGCUUUGAAUAAUAACCACAGUCACUUGAAAUACUUUAAAUUUUAUGUGAUUAAAAUUAAGGCCUAGAAAUUUAUUAAUGGAAUACUUCAAACCUAAAUUUUAUUUUUAAGAGUCUUUAUCCUCCUAGACUGAUUUUUUUUUGACUAAUUGUGUUCUCUAUUAAGACAUAAGUUAAGUUUUAUUCAUCUUUUUAUUAUCUAAGACAUGUAUGCUUACAGGAACAUAAUAGGUUUGCAUAAAUUUUAUUAAACACAUAAAGGCAGUCUAUAGAAAAUAUCGUUUUCAGGACAAGAAAUAAUCAUCUACUUUAGGAAUCUGAGUAACCACUGGAAAUCUCUGUGUUCUAUUAAUCUGAACAGUUGCUAUUACAGGCAACAGAAAUGCAAAUUUGUUUGAGUAAAUAGAGGGGACUUAGGGUGGCAUAUGUGGGUUAACAGGCACCAGGCAAACACAACAGGAUCACAAGCGAUGUUGUCAGGAUCUAUUGUCCUUGCUCCAUCUUUUGAAUCUGCUUUCUUCUGUGUUGGAGUUCUUAAGGCCCUCUGCUCAUGUCAGGAAAGAUGUCAAUAGCAGCUACAAGCGUAUGGGAUUUACCAGCUAGCAAUUCCAAGAAAUAAUAUAUUUCCCAAGUAAAGCCACUAGGAAGGCUCAAUUCAGCCCAUUUCUGACUCAAUUCCUGAGGCUGGGAGGAUGAGCUCCUCUAAGAUUCCAGGCCUGGGCAUGAUCACACCUCUGUAAUGAGGGCAUGUUCACACCUCUGUAGUGAGGUGUAAUGACGGGGGCAGCUCUCCUCCACCACCUGGGCUGGUGCCCAUCAUGUAGGAAGGUUUGUUUCAGAAGACCAGAGGAUGAAUAUUGGGGCAGGCAACAGGUAAGAGAUGUUUGCAAAAUCAUUGUUUUCAUAAUUUUGAAUGUCCUAUACUUUCAAUUGUAACAUGAUUGCCUGACAUCAAUUCAAAACCCUGAGCUCCCUAGAGAGCUCAGUUGGUGUUGCUGUUCUCUUUACUCUUUCUUUAGCCAUGAGCUUCAACUAGUUCUCAGCUCAAGUCUUACAGCUCCUCUUUUGUUUCUUUAUGUUGAGGAGCGGGGGAAGAUUACAUUCAACUUCAGACAGCUUGGAAAAAGUUAGAAGCAAAAGAUGAAUCUGAAUGCUGUCUGAUAGUCCAUUUUUAAUCAGAGGAGAGCAAUUUUCCCUUCUCAAAGAAUGUCUCUUCACAUCAGGUAUUUGGCUUCUAGGUGCUUGCUGAUUAAUUACUUACAUUUACAUAACAUUAAUCUCCUUUCUAACAAUUUAGCAGGCUUCCAGCCGUUUUCCCCGCCUCAUCAGUCUGGCAGAACAUCCUCGAUCUUAAAAGAGCCACAACUACUUUUGCAAUGUGUAGAUUUUGAAAACUUACUUAAAUAAAACAGAAUAAAAAUCUUAAGCAAAGCUAUAAAUGAUUAUAUCUUCCAUGUAUAUUAGGUAGAUAUCUGAAUGAAAUGCUUGGUCUACACACUUUAUUUUGAGUUGUGUAUAUGGAAAAUAUCUUCCCUUCUGUUUUGAAAUUCCUUCCUUGAAUUCUUUCCCAGAAUCUUAUUCAUUCAUUCUAAGCUCAGCUCCAAUAACACCUCCUUUUGGAGGACCUUCCAGAGCCUCCUGGUCACUUGAUAUCUUUCAUUACAAUUCCACAUCACUAUUUGGGAUUACAUUCAUGCAUUCAUUCAACAGAAAUUUAUUGAGCUCUUCCAAUGUUAACCCCUAUGUAGGUGCUGGGGGCAAAAAUGUGAUGAAAAACAGAAAUAGUCUCUGCUUUCCAGAACCCUCAGUCAAAAGGGAUGUGUAAGGUAUAGUGACUGUGAUGUCACAAAGAUAGGAAUUUAGCCAGGAGGAAAUACUUGCAUUAGAUCUUGAGGAAUAAGCCCAAGUUCACCACACAAGUAAAGAAUGGGGUUGGCAGUACUGUCCUUACAUGGGCCAAGAAGGGUACCCCAUGCUUUCAGGAUCCUGCUGUGUCCUUUCUCUAGCUCUGCACCACCCUAUGUUUCUGCUUUCUAGAACCGGUUUCAACCACCCAGUGCCCCAGAGUUCCCUACCCAAACAUCCCCAAACUCCCUUCCAGGCCUGCACUGGACUUUUCCCCAAGUCCGUACUCUUAAAGGCCAGAAUGUGCUGAUAGUGUGUGUACCCUAGGCCCAAGCUUUGGGGUGAUGUUGGGGAGGGUGAGUGGAGCUUAGAUUAAGUGGUCCAUACAUCUAUACCCAAAAGCGUUUGUUGAAUUGGAGAAAGCCAGGGAGCAGAGAGCAGUGGAGCGGGCUGGCAUAUUCUACAGCAGUAAGUUCCAGCAUGGAAAAAUCCAAGGAGCCUGAAAAUUCUAAAUCUGAGCUUGGCCUUCAGGUCAUUAUGAAGAUAUAUUUGUCACAUAGGAAGACAGAAUGCAUUUUUACAUAACAGUUUGUUGGCUUGAUUUAUAACUUUUAAAUGUAUGCAUGUUUGAUAGGUGUGCUUCCAUUUAUGCUCUUGCCUUGGGCUGCAGAAAUGUUAGGGCAGGCCUGGAAGCAAGGCACAGAGAUGGUUCUGAGCCGACAGAAGAGAGACAGAAAGGUCCAGAGGUGUAAUUUGGGAAUCCAAUCACAAGCAGGUUGGUGUGACCACAGAAUGACUUGGAAAUUGGCUAGUUAUGCAUGUGUUCAUCUUUCCCUCCAGACGGUAUAUUCUCUGAGGUCAAAUGCCAUGGAACAUUCAUUCCUGUGUUUGGCAGAACAUUUUAUACAGAGCAUAAGGCAGCCAAGAAGGAUGAGCCGGUGAUCUCUGCAGUCUGCCCAUAACUCCACACAAAACUUUACCCAUUGUCACAGGAGAGUAUAAGCAUAGCAUAAAGAUCCUCGUAGAUGGACUUUCAGCUCCAUGCUUAAAGCAACUGACAAGAAUCCAUUUCUUUUCAGUGUACAAGUGAAGGGUAAAAGACAGAGAAGGAAGAUAGAGCAUAGGAAAAAGAGUGGGGUGAUAUUUGUCCAUUCAUUUGUUGAAGAAAUGGUUAAAUAAAGGAAUGAAUGACUAAAGACCAGGUUGGCAGGUGAAAGCCAGGGCAGGGGCCUGGGGCAGCAGGCAGAGACACAGCUCUCACAAAUGCAAGAGGAAGACGAAUCAGGCACUCGUCUGUUCUUCAAAGGAUACAGAAUGGUUUUAUUGACCACCUGUACAUGUGAUGGCUUUCAUCCUGGAGGAGAAGGGCAUAUCCACACCUACCGAAUAUCUGUUUCACAGGCAAUGUGCCAAUUAUUUACAUGCAUAAUCUCAGUAAAUCCUUAGACAACUCUGUGGAGGCAUUUACUGAUAUCUCCAUUUUACCCAGGAGGACACUGAGGUCCAGAGAGAUUAAACCAUUUGUCUGAGGUCACACGGCCAGUGAAAUUUUGAUGCAGGAUUUAAAUCCAAGUCUGUCUCUUACCACUGUAUCAUGCUGUUUUCAGAGGUGAGGGGAGGUGUCUUAAGAGUACCAUAUGGCUUCUGCCACUGGGGAGACCACUGUCAAAUUCCAAGAGGAAGAUCAUGAGGGUCUCAACUGAAUUACUGAAGGGGAGAUUGUGUGAGAAGAGACAGAUUUAAGACUUAUCUGCAGGGUAGAAAUUGGAUUGGUGAACUUAAUACAAUGUUUCUUUAUUCAUUCAUUUAUUCAUUUCAAUAUUCACUGAGUUUUAUUAUGUGUCAAGACACUGCAUUUAGUUGGCCCAGGGAAGAAUAAAUGUGAAUAGGACACUGCAUUCAAUGAAUGCUGAUUCUAGAAUGAGCAGCAAACUAAAUCCAGUAAUGAUAUUACAGCAUCACCACAUACUUUCAAUUCUACCUCUUAAAUAUCUCAAUCUAUUUCUUCUUUUCUACCCUCACUGACAUGUGGUUCACAGACCUCAUUAUCUCUCACCCGUUGCUGUAGCAGUCUCAUACCAGGCCUUCCCAUCUUGUAUGUGGCACUAACUCGAGUAUAAGGCCAUUUCAUGGUUUUCUGCCAAGAAUUGUUUUCUCAGCUCAUUGGCAAAACAAACACAGCUUCAGUUCCUAACCUGAAAAGUUUAUGCAUGAAGAAUUUAAAAUAUUAGUAAUCUUUUAUUUAACGUAUAUUUUUUGAACACCUACUAUGUGUGAAGUCUUGAGCAGGCACCAAGUAUGUCACUGCAAGAGGCAUGGCCUGUCUUUGAGGGAGGUACAGACAAGUAAAUAGGCAACCCUAAUACAGUGCUAUAAGUGUAAAUGCCUAAAAUAGUUUAAUGGGGUAAAUUUUGGUAGAAUAUAGGAGGGGCAUUUCUUCCAAACUAAGAGUCAGAUGGAGGAAGUGACAUUUAAACAAAAAAAAUGAGAGAAAUAUGUAUGUUUGGAGAUGCUCUCCAACAGAACCUUUCAUCCUACUCAAAAAUAUUUUGAAUGUAUCUUUUGAGAUAUAGGGAGCUAGAAACAUUAAAGAAAAUAUUGUGCUAUUUUUUUCUGGAACUUGAAAACAGAACAGAUUGUAAGAUGGGGAAUGUUUCCUCACUAAUGACUUUAAUAAAAACUCAAAAUCUACUUGUCAGCUUUAAUAUUCAGAGGCAUGUUAUGAGGGCGCCAACUAAAUUGUAUCUUUCUAAUCCUUUUCUCAGUCAUCUUUUAUCCUUCCUAUCCCCUUUGUUGAAAGAACUGCCAAAGCUAAUUCCCUAUCCUGGAGUUUAGGUUGAUAAAUGGAAAGAUUAUUUCCACUGGGAAUAUUGAUAGGCUCCAGGUCUUGACGCUUGGGUUUUGAAAGAGGAUGCUGCUUUUGUUAAUGGAAAUUCAUGAGUACUUGGAACACAGUGAUACAAUAAUUCCUAAGUCUGGGGUCAACAGGGACCUAUGUUUGUUGGCAGGAGGCACCGGCUCAAAUCAAAUCAGCAGUAACAUUAAGACCAUCAAAAUCAAGAGCUCUUAAAGUGGUGCCAUAUACAAGUUUGAUGCAUAGCUAUAAAUGAUGUAGCUGCUUGAAGUCACAGAAUCUGUCUGUGGUGCUUUUGUUACCUCUACUUUCUCCAUCUGAACUGAGCUGAACACCACCUAAGUCUGAUCAUGAGUUUCCUGUUCCAUAAUGGGACCAACACCAAGGACUCUGUCCACUGAUUUGCUGCAACCAUAACAUUUGCUCCCCCCUUCUCUUUUUCAAGUAUUUCUCACAAUAAAAUAAGUACUUCUCCAUUCCACAGUUGGGAUAUAUAUUCAAAAAGUUGAGAUAUAUAUCUCAACUGUAUAAUGACAGGUGACUUUUUCCCUUACUUUAUAAAUUGAGGUUGAAAAGUUAACUAAUAUGGAGAUGAGUACAUACCUACUAAGUUGGAUCUGGGAUUUAAAUCCAAAGUGUUUGACUCCAUACUCUGCGCACUGACUUUGUUACUCCAAUAUAGAUCGGGCAGCAAGCCAGACAAAAAUCCCAGCUUCAGUUUCUGGCUCAUGAGGUUGACCAACAAUAUUUAAGUUAAAAUCAGUG
RNAcentral lists this long non-coding RNA (6957 nucleotides) under Homo sapiens (human). RNAcentral's name for it is "HSALNT0303700". The record is from RNAcentral. Lineage: Eukaryota; Metazoa; Chordata; Mammalia; Primates; Hominidae.